CACAGGAAUUUUUUUUUUUUUUGAAGGCACCCAGCAUCUCCAGUUAGCAGUACUGACUUUUUUCUUUUCCCCCCCCAACAAAGGCACACUACGUCAACACUCUUGGCCGGGAUCUGGACGCAGAAGACUCCUGUUUCAAGAAAAUACAAUCGUCUCUCAAAGUCUGUAAUUUAUAUGCAUUUUUAACUCACUAGGUAUUGAAAACCACCCAAGUGUCCCACAACAUGGGGUAAAAUAUAAUCACUGAGUGUAAUAUUAUACAUCCCUUAAAAAUGUUAUUGGAAAAUGUUUUAUGAUCUGUAAGACAAAAUACCCUCUCCCACCAUUUCUUUCUCCCUGCUGCUCCCCCAUACCCACGCAUCUUUGUUCCAACUGGCAUGUUCAACUUGGUUUUCCCGCCAAAUGAGUCAGUUAUGAUGGGAACGUCAAUUGAUUUGAACAGAUGUGUGUCAGUGUUACUUGGGAAACUAGAUGCCAAUAACCAGGGCCACACAAAAAGGCAGUGGUUGCAACUCCGUACAAAUUUAUGCGGGCAUGCAGACAAGGACUAAAGUGGAACCCCAAACAGG
This 569-nucleotide long non-coding RNA is filed under the name Lynx pardinus (Iberian lynx). Lineage: Eukaryota; Metazoa; Chordata; Mammalia; Carnivora; Felidae. The record is from RNAcentral.